CCUACGGGUGGCAGCAGUGGGGAAUAUUGGACAAUGGGGGGAGCCCUGAUCCAGCCAUGCCGCGUGUGUGAAGAAGGCCCUCGGGUUGUAAAGCACUUUCAGUGAGGAAGAACGCCUGGUGGUUAAUACCCAUCAGGAAAGACAUCACUCACAGAAGAAGCACCGGCUAACUCCGUGCCAGCAGCCGCGGUAAUACGGAGGGUGCGAGCGUUAAUCGGAAUUACUGGGCGUAAAGCGCGCGUAGGUGGCUUGAUAAGCCGGUUGUGAAAGCCCCGGGCUCAACCUGGGAACGGCAUCCGGAACUGUCAAGCUAGAGUGCAGGAGAGGAAGGUAGAAUUCCCGGUGUAGCGGUGAAAUGCGUAGAGAUCGGGAGGAAUACCAGUGGCGAAGGCGGCCUUCUGGACUGACACUGACACUGAGGUGCGAAAGCGUGGGUAGCAAACAGGAUUAGAUACCCUAGUAGUC
Molecule: ribosomal RNA, 465 nt
Filed under: Vreelandella stevensii
Lineage: Bacteria; Pseudomonadati; Pseudomonadota; Gammaproteobacteria; Oceanospirillales; Halomonadaceae
Description: partial 16S ribosomal RNA
Rfam family: Bacterial small subunit ribosomal RNA
Source: RNAcentral